This 670-nucleotide ribosomal RNA is filed under the name Bacillus subtilis. Its description in RNAcentral is "bacterial SSU rRNA". It matches the Rfam family "Bacterial small subunit ribosomal RNA", at positions 195 to 850 of the family's 1533-position model. Lineage: Bacteria; Bacillati; Bacillota; Bacilli; Caryophanales; Bacillaceae. The record is from RNAcentral.
CAAACAUAAAAGGUGGCUUCGGCUACCACUUACAGAUGGACCCGCGGCGCAUUAGCUAGUUGGUGAGGUAACGGCUCACCAAGGCAACGAUGCGUAGCCGACCUGAGAGGGUGAUCGGCCACACUGGGACUGAGACACGGCCCAGACUCCUACGGGAGGCAGCAGUAGGGAAUCUUCCGCAAUGGACGAAAGUCUGACGGAGCAACGCCGCGUGAGUGAUGAAGGUUUUCGGAUCGUAAAGCUCUGUUGUUAGGGAAGAACAAGUACCGUUCGAAUAGGGCGGUACCUUGACGGUACCUAACCAGAAAGCCACGGCUAACUACGUGCCAGCAGCCGCGGUAAUACGUAGGUGGCAAGCGUUGUCCGGAAUUAUUGGGCGUAAAGGGCUCGCAGGCGGUUUCUUAAGUCUGAUGUGAAAGCCCCCGGCUCAACCGGGGAGGGUCAUUGGAAACUGGGGAACUUGAGUGCAGAAGAGGAGAGUGGAAUUCCACGUGUAGCGGUGAAAUGCGUAGAGAUGUGGAGGAACACCAGUGGCGAAGGCGACUCUCUGGUCUGUAACUGACGCUGAGGAGCGAAAGCGUGGGGAGCGAACAGGAUUAGAUACCCUGGUAGUCCACGCCGUAAACGAUGAGUGCUAAGUGUUAGGGGGUUUCCGCCCCUUAGUGCUGCA